Molecule: ribosomal RNA, 198 nt
Filed under: Staphylococcus epidermidis
Lineage: Bacteria; Bacillati; Bacillota; Bacilli; Caryophanales; Staphylococcaceae
Description: partial 16S ribosomal RNA
Rfam family: Bacterial small subunit ribosomal RNA
Source: RNAcentral
AAAGAGAAAAGUGGAUUCCCAUGGGUAGCGUGAAAAUGCGCAGAGAUAUGGAGGAACAUCAGUGGCGAAGGCGACUUUCUGGUCUGUAACUGACGCUGAUGUGUUCUCAGUUCGGAUUGUAGUCUGCAACUCGACUAUAUGAAGCUGGAAUCGCUAGUAAUCGUAGAUCAGCAUGCUACGGUGAAUACGUUCCCGGGU